UGGGAAGUAUUGCACAAUGGGCGCAAGCCUGAUGCAGCCAUGCCGCGUGUAUGAAGAAGGCCUUCGGGUUGUAAAGUACUUUCAGCGAGGAGGAAGGUGUUGUGGUUAAUAACCGCAGCAAUUGACGUUACUCGCAGAAGAAGCACCGGCUAACUCCGUGCCAGCAGCCGCGGUAAUACGGAGGGUGCAAGCGUUAAUCGGAAUUACUGGGCGUAAAGCGCACGCAGGCGGUCUGUCAAGUCGGAUGUGAAAUCCCCGGGCUCAACCUGGGAACUGCAUCCGAAACUGGCAGGCUAGAGUCUUGUAGA
RNAcentral lists this ribosomal RNA (308 nucleotides) under uncultured Enterobacteriaceae bacterium. Its description in RNAcentral is "bacterial SSU rRNA". It matches the Rfam family "Bacterial small subunit ribosomal RNA", at positions 355 to 655 of the family's 1533-position model. The record is from RNAcentral. Lineage: Bacteria; Pseudomonadati; Pseudomonadota; Gammaproteobacteria; Enterobacterales; Enterobacteriaceae.